UACGAAGGGGGCUAGCGUUGUUCGGAAUUACUGGGCGUAAAGCGCACGUAGGCGGACAUUUAAGUCAGGGGUGAAAUCCCGCAGCUCAACUGCGGAACUGCCUUUGAUACUGGGUGUCUAGAGUAUGGAAGAGGUAAGUGGAAUUGCGAGUGUAGAGGUGAAAUUCGUAGAUAUUCGCAGGAACACCAGUGGCGAAGGCGGCUUACUGGUCCAUUACUGACGCUGAGGUGCGAAAGCGUGGAGAGCAAACAGA
This 253-nucleotide ribosomal RNA is filed under the name uncultured bacterium. RNAcentral describes it as "partial 16S ribosomal RNA". It matches the Rfam family "Bacterial small subunit ribosomal RNA", at positions 524 to 776 of the family's 1533-position model. The record is from RNAcentral.